Non-coding RNA from Strongylocentrotus purpuratus (purple sea urchin), 46 nucleotides. NCBI's taxonomy places the organism in Eukaryota, Metazoa, Echinodermata, Echinoidea, Camarodonta, Strongylocentrotidae. The record is from Rfam.
CAAACGGCUCUUUUCAGAGCCACCACAACCCCAAGAACCACUGUUG